RNAcentral lists this transfer RNA (69 nucleotides) under Marmota monax (woodchuck). It matches the Rfam family "tRNA". Rfam says of the family: Transfer RNA (tRNA) molecules are approximately 80 nucleotides in length. Their secondary structure includes four short double-helical elements and three loops (D, anti-codon, and T loops). RNAcentral also lists the same sequence under 2 other names. Lineage: Eukaryota; Metazoa; Chordata; Mammalia; Rodentia; Sciuridae. The record is from Rfam by way of RNAcentral.
GGGGUUGUGGCUCAGUGGUAGAGCACUUGCCUUGCAUGAGCAAGGCACUGGGUUCAAUCCUCAGCACCA